Molecule: ribosomal RNA, 200 nt
Filed under: uncultured Glomus
Lineage: Eukaryota; Fungi; Glomeromycota; Glomeromycetes; Glomerales; Glomeraceae
Description: partial small subunit ribosomal RNA
Rfam family: Eukaryotic small subunit ribosomal RNA
Source: RNAcentral
CCAAUAGCGUAUAUUAAAGUUGCUGCAGUUAAAAAGCUCGUAGUUGAAUUUCGGGACUAAUAUGUCGGUCGUGCCUCGGUACGUACUGGCUUAUUGGUUUCUCCUUUCUGAAGAACCAUGAUGUCAUUUAUUUGGUGUCGUGAGGAAUCAGGACUGUUACUUUGAAAAAAUUAGAGUGUUUAAAGCAGGCUCACGCUUGA